This is a long non-coding RNA of Myxocyprinus asiaticus (Chinese sucker), 608 nucleotides long. RefSeq lists it as uncharacterized. NCBI's taxonomy places the organism in Eukaryota, Metazoa, Chordata, Actinopteri, Cypriniformes, Catostomidae. The record is from RefSeq and is a predicted model, not a curated record. The transcript has 3 exons.
ACAGUCACAGCGCUCUCAUGAGCAUGGAAUCAAGCACAUACAGAUAAGCUCCAAGGCCGCAAACCUUUAAAGAAACGGACGCCAUCAGAGGAAUACUGUAACUUAAGUGUGAUGGCAGACCAGUCCAAUGUUACUCACAAGAAAUAAUUAUGCUAAUAAUUAUGGAUACUGGAGAACUGGUGCUCUUUGCUCCACAUCACAAAAAGAUGGAAACAGUUGUGGGACUUUUGUGCAACUGGUGAAUGCUCUUACCCUGAAUAGGAGUAUCCAUCCCAGACAACUGAUACAACACCAUGAUGUGGCAAUGAGGAUGUUCAUGUACAACAAAAUUGAGCAAAAUGCAAGCACUCCAGUUGUAAUGUUCAAUUCCAGUGUUUGUGUGUGUAAAUACAUGUACUCAAAUUUAUUGUCUUUUGUAGUUACAUGCAUGACAACCUGUAAUUUGUAACCAAAAAAAAUCAUACCUUUUAGCCAACAGACUUGCUUUAAAGUGUAAAAAAAAAAAAAAAAAAAAAAACAGACUCUUUAAAACCUAUUUACUUCAAAAUGCCUUUAUAGAACUCAAUAAAAGAUUUGUCAACUAAAUGACAAAAAAAUAUUUUGUCAAA